This 468-nucleotide ribosomal RNA is filed under the name uncultured bacterium. RNAcentral describes it as "partial 16S ribosomal RNA". It matches the Rfam family "Bacterial small subunit ribosomal RNA", at positions 28 to 507 of the family's 1533-position model. The record is from RNAcentral.
GACGAACGCUGGCGGCGUGCUUAACACAUGCAAGUCGAACGGAAAGGCCCUGCUUUUGUGGGGUGCUCGAGUGGCGAACGGGUGAGUAACACGUGAGUAACCUGCCCUUGACUUUGGGAUAACUUCAGGAAACUGGAGCUAAUACCGGAUAGGAGCUCCUGCUGCAUGGUGGGGGUUGGAAAGUUUCGGCGGUUGGGGAUGGACUCGCGGCUUAUCAGCUUGUUGGUGGGGUAGUGGCUUACCAAGGCUUUGACGGGUAGCCGGCCUGAGAGGGUGACCGGCCACAUUGGGACUGAGAUACGGCCCAGACUCCUACGGGAGGCAGCAGUGGGGAAUAUUGCACAAUGGGCGGAAGCCUGAUGCAGCAACGCCGCGUGGGGGAUGACGGCCUUCGGGUUGUAACCCGCUUUCGCCUGUGACGAAGCGUGAGUGACGGUAAUGGGUAAAGAAGCACCGGCUAACUACGUG